GCUUCGCUACAAUUGCCUUUUUUCUAUGCUGCUUCAGCUAAAGAGAUUGUUGUAUUUUCAGAUGAUUCAAAAUAUUUCACAGAUGAGUGAUUGUGUUCAGCUGUAUCUACUAAAGCUAAUGCUACCUGGAUUCGAGGGGUGUGACCUGCCAGUAUAUCCAAGGGCAAUGGCACUAUACCCUCCCAACCUAGAUGGGCCCCCCCCUUUCCUUUUUGUAGGAGUGUUCCUGAUUCCAUUCCACCUUGGGCAGUGCCCCCUUAUAUGUAUGGUUGUUAUGUGGGGUGAAUGGUACUGAUCCCUUGCCUCAGGGCUGAUGGGAUCCCUGGGAUGUAUGCUUGUAAUAUAGUGUGUGUGUUGUGUGUUUGGUGUAUGUGUUGGGUGCAGCGUGUGCAGGCCCUCACUUCUGCCAUGGUGGCGCAGGCCUUUGCCGCAGUGGAGGCGGGACAAUCUCCUCAGAUUUGGCUUGCCGCUCUAAAGAAAUAAUGCUGAGUUAUGCCGUGGGUUGCGAGGCUAAGCACUGCACAGAGGAUAGCUUGCUGUUGGCAUCCUGUGGAAGGUACAUCUGAUUGCAUGAAGGUUCAGUGUCCUAGUUCCCUUCACCCAGGAAAAACGACACGGGAGCUGGCCAAGACCUCUCUGGGUGAUGAGCCCAAGGGAUGGUUUUGUGUAGGGCCCCUAUGCUUGCACACUGGGGAUCAGACCUUCACCCAUGAGUCUUGCUUGCAGCAAGCAAAAUCGGGCCAUAGAUUAAUCAGCGUCCUGGCCUUCUGGUGCACCUGCCACAUGCAGACAGGACAAUCUCCUCAAGUAUGGCUUGGCAUGAUAGAGAAGUAGUCAAUGACGGAUAAAACUCCCUGGGCGUGUCACCAACCUAAGACAGGGAU
This 884-nucleotide long non-coding RNA is filed under the name Mus musculus (house mouse). RNAcentral describes it as "long non-coding RNA chr5:111949021-111949905". Lineage: Eukaryota; Metazoa; Chordata; Mammalia; Rodentia; Muridae. The record is from RNAcentral.